Molecule: ribosomal RNA, 286 nt
Filed under: uncultured bacterium
Lineage: Bacteria
Description: partial 16S ribosomal RNA
Rfam family: Bacterial small subunit ribosomal RNA
Source: RNAcentral
UAACCUACGGGGCGCAGCAGUGAGGAAUAUUGGUCAAUGGCCGAAGGGCUGAACCAGCCAAGCCGCGUGAAGGAAUAAGGCCCUACGGGUCGUAAACUUCUUUAGUCAGGGAACAAAGGGUGCCACGUGUGGCGCUGUGAGUGUACCUGAAGAAUAAGCAUCGGCUAACUCCGUGCCAGCAGCCGCGGUAAUACGUAGGGUGCAAGCGUUAUCCGGAUUUAUUGGGCGUAAAGGGCUCGUAGGCGGUUCGUCGCGUCCGGUGUGAAAAUUCAUCGCUUAACGGCGG